GACAGAGGGUGCAAACGUUGUUCGGAAUUACUGGGCGUAAAGCGCGUGUAGGCGGCUAUGUAAGUCGGGCGUGAAAUCCCACGGCUCAACCGUGGAAGUGCACCCGAAACUGCUUUGCUUGAGUGUCGGAGAGGAUGGCGGAAUUCCCCAAGUAGAGGUGAAAUUCGUAGAUAUGGGGAGGAACACCGGUGGCGAAGGCGGCCAUCUGGACGACAACUGACGCUGAGACGCGAAAGCGUGGGUAGCAAACAGG
RNAcentral lists this ribosomal RNA (253 nucleotides) under uncultured bacterium. RNAcentral's name for it is "partial 16S ribosomal RNA". It matches the Rfam family "Bacterial small subunit ribosomal RNA", at positions 524 to 776 of the family's 1533-position model. The record is from RNAcentral.